Zea mays is the source of this 342-nucleotide long non-coding RNA. RefSeq lists it as uncharacterized. The record is from RefSeq and is marked validated. The transcript has a single exon. NCBI's taxonomy places the organism in Eukaryota, Viridiplantae, Streptophyta, Magnoliopsida, Poales, Poaceae.
CGACUACGAGAGUCGGUCGCGGCUCCGUCCGUACCCUCCCGUCGGCGAAGUCACGCCCAUCCCGUCCCAACGGUAGCAGUAACUUCAGGAUUUGUGGCCGGGACAAGAGGACAAGGCUCCGACCCAGCGGGCAGAGUGGUCUGGCGACUCAGGUUGCCCAGGAUGGAGGAGAAAGGCGAGGUCCGGUUUGUGGCCAGCGAACAAGGUAGGUGAAUACUGAUUAGGUUCUUGAUUCAGAGUUCUGACGCUCAAUGAUUUUGCAUGCUUCACUGUUCGGACUGAGUUUACUAGGAAGCCUGUUCCCAAAAUGUACGUGCACACUGCACAGUAUUCCUCUGUGAU